This 273-nucleotide long non-coding RNA is filed under the name Mytilus galloprovincialis (Mediterranean mussel). The record is from RNAcentral. Lineage: Eukaryota; Metazoa; Mollusca; Bivalvia; Mytilida; Mytilidae.
UCGUGGUAUUUUUGUAUAUCGUCCAGUUUCUAUUAAGAGACAAUAAUCGCUUAUUCUAAAUUUGGUUAACAUUUUUCUUGUUUCUUUAUUUGGUGCGAUAGGUAGUAUUUCAUUUGGUCAUAUAUAUAAGAUUUAAGAAUGAUUAAAAAUACAAAGUAAAAAAGAUGUCAGCUUGUGCGAUGGCAACAGGUUUGGGAAACACCCUUUUUCUAUGAAUGCUACUCGGAUAACAUCAACGAAGUUUUUGAAUUUUGACAUAUUAUUAUGAGAAAG